AACGAACGCUGGCGGCGCGUCUUAACCAUGCAAGUCGAGCGGCAGGCAGCAAUGCCGAGAGCGGCGGACUGGUGAGUAACACGUGGAUAACGUACCCCGAUGUCCGGGACAGCCUGUAGAAAUAGAGGGUGAUACCGGAUAGAUCACUGUAUACGGAAGGUAGACAGCGGGAAAGGAGCUUCGGCUCCGCGCCGGGAACGGUCUGCGGCCCAUCAGCUGGACGGCGGGGUAACGGCCCGCCGUGGCGAGGACGGGUAUCCGGCCUGAGAGGGCGGACGGACACAUUGGGACUGAGAUACGGCCCAGACUCCUACGGGAGGCAGCAGGUAAGAAUAUUCCGCAAUGGGGGAAACCCUGACGGAGCGACGCCGCGUGAACGAGGAAGGCCGGAAGGUUGUAAAGUUCUUUUCUGUCCGAGGAAUAAGUGUAGGAGGAAAUGCCUGCAUGGUGACGGUAGGGCAGGAAUAAGCACCGCUAAUUAC
This 482-nucleotide ribosomal RNA is filed under the name Treponema socranskii. RNAcentral's name for it is "bacterial SSU rRNA". It matches the Rfam family "Bacterial small subunit ribosomal RNA", at positions 29 to 504 of the family's 1533-position model. The record is from RNAcentral. Lineage: Bacteria; Pseudomonadati; Spirochaetota; Spirochaetia; Treponematales; Treponemataceae.